Lycium barbarum (goji berry) is the source of this 867-nucleotide long non-coding RNA. RefSeq lists it as uncharacterized. NCBI's taxonomy places the organism in Eukaryota, Viridiplantae, Streptophyta, Magnoliopsida, Solanales, Solanaceae. The transcript is spliced from 3 exons. The record is from RefSeq and is a predicted model, not a curated record.
UUUAAAAACUAGUUUCGGGAAUUUCAAAAUAAGACCCGCAACAAAUUGGGCUUAAAUGAAAUGAAAAAAAAAAGGGAAAACAAAGAGGCCCAUAUUAGUAGUGGCCGGCCAUGGAGGAAAAUAUAGGGCCCAAGCCCAUAAAAAUUUUAAAAUUCAUGUGAUAAAUAAAUAGAAGGGUCCAUCACUUAGUCAUUAUGCUUAGAACUUUCAAGACAAAAAUUUUGAGUGCAAGAGCCAAGGGGUAUUCGGCCAACCAAAAGAAAAAAAAAUUGAAACCUUCCAAACUUUGAUCCAAAAUUUCUUCCUUCUUGAAUUCCCACUAAGUUCAAGACCCCCUUCAACGUGGUAUGAUUUUUUAGGCAAGAAAGUACUUUUUUUUGGAAAGUGGAAAAAUUGGAAAAAGAUAGUGGAGAGCCCGAGACUUGAGUCGAGAUCUGUUUGGCAAGUGAUCGAGAAUUGUUAGUGAGCGAUCGAGGUACGGACGCUCGUUUUGGUGAUCCUCCAAUAUAGGAUACAUAUUCUGCCACUUGGAUUACUCCUUUUGAUCCGGAGCUCAUAUUUUUGGUACAUCUCUUCUGUUAUACAUAUUCUGUAUAUACGACUAUUUGGGUACGGCGGGGCCCUGUCCCGUCAUAUGUUUCUGUCAGGGUUUGUAGAGGCCUGUAGUCAUAUAUGUGGGUCAUGGGUCAUGUUUGUUCGUUGUGAUUAUGAUAUGCGUCUUAAUGCGGUCCCGUUUGCUAUUAUGGCCAAAACGGCCCCUUUGUUAGUAUAUGUGUAUAUAUCUGGGCGAUGUGUAUUCCGCCAGCUUACCGGAUUUGAUAUGAUGUUUCUGUACGGGCGACCGCUUAAGACGAUAUUUGCUUUCAG